UUCCUAUCAUGUUGAAUUUCUCGUCUUCACUGGCAGAGGUGGAACCUGCCGGUUUUUGUUCUUGAAUCCCCUUCGGUGGGUGGGCCUGGCUACUAGAGAUUAUAAAAACAGAUAACAAAAAUAUACUCAGAAAAUAAAACUUAGGAAGCUGGCUGUGGCUUAAUGCCUGCCUUUGUUGGGAUUCGACGUGUUAGCUUUCCGGUACCCGGAGGCAGGCCUGAGAUGGCCAAGGUCACCUCCCAACUUCCCAUCCUCCUUGGUGGAGGGAGUGAGAUCUGGGAGGCCUCGCUGGGCAGUGCUCGAGUUAAACGCCGUGAAGCGGUUAGUACAGUGCCUAACCUGCAUGAGUGCUUCAAAAAGGCUGCCCAGGUCGGGGCUUGGAUCUGGGUAAGCGAGUUACCGAACCUCCCUGCGAAUUGGGUGUCUUCAUCCCUGCUGUGCAUUCUGUGCCAGGUGGUGGUGUGGAUGAAGUGAGGAGCCAGCAUGUAACGGGCUCAGAGGAAGACUCCCAAGGCUGCCAGAGCAGGCUUCGGCCACAGUGUGGACCAGCCUGGCUGUGUCUGCUGAGCAGAGGCCUGCUGUGUGUGGAGCGUUUGUAACCCCUCAACUAUUGGAGCUGCUGGAAACGUACCUGAGAAUGUGAUAGGAAGAGGUUACUCACAUUGGGUAUGAGUCUUGCUGAAAGAAGUUGAUAAUCUAAAGAUGGGGAAGGAUUUUCAAAGGUGCCUUGGAAAUAGAGAAUGAAGGAGACCGCAGAGGUCCGACUGCUUAGUCCGAGAACUACUGAGUCUGGGAGUCUGUAGCAAAAUGGCGCCAGGCUUCCAAAGCACCCACUGGUCAAGGGCAGGGCAGCUGUCAGAAAGCAGAGCUAGAUUGGUGUGGGCAGUGAAGAGACCUCUUCAUGAUAUGAACAACAGCAAGGCAUUGUAGUGUGUGCCUGUCAUCCCAGCACUCUGGGAGGCUGAGGCAGGGCCAUUGCAAGUUCGAGCCAGCCUGGGCAGCUUAGCGAUUUACUAAGAUCGCAUUCCUGUGUCUGUCACACUAAUCUCUCUCCCUAGUUUGGGUGUGUACUUGAAACAUCUUGCUGAGUUGCCCUCCAGCAGCCCCGGUGAUCUGUAAUCCCGCUGGAGAGGAUGGGCCAGUUUCCUUGGGCCCUUGCCAACGCCGAGCUUUAUCAAGCUUUCUGAUUUUUGCUGAGCUGAUAGUUGGAAGUCCAGUUUGGAUUUCUUUAUGGAGUGAAGUUGAGCACGUUUUCAUCUCUGUGAGCCAUUUGCAGGUCAUUGUGUAGAAGCCAUCUGUUCAUGUCCUUUACCCAUCAGUCAUAUUUGCUCACUACCUUUGGUUUUUGUAUCGCAUUUCACAGAAGAGCAGUUUUGUAGGCAGGAGCAUUGAGAAGGCAAAGCAGACGGGCGAUUGAGAGUCCUGUUGGGCCUGUGCUUGCAGACCCGAAGACUUCAUAGAUUUGCUGCCUGAGGCGCUUCCCUGUGGCUCGGAAGCAUAGCUUAGCAGAUGUGGGCCCUCCAUCUCCUGCACUCCCAGCAGUCAGUGCUCGGCAAAUCAGGAUUUGGAUUUGCGGUAGACUGGAACUAGAACAGCUCUUGUUCCAGAGCACAGGAGUCUGAUCGAGGGGCACUGUCACUUCCUGACUCACGGUUGGUAAGCAGAGGAGACACAGGAGGGCACACAGCUCUUGGUUCGCUUUCUGCUUUCACUCCAAGACCGGUGUGCUGAACUGUGAAGUCAGCAUGGCAUUCACUGGCUUGCUCGGCCCAGGUAAGGCUGGGGGGCUGUGCGGGGAUAGAGCAGUACACACCACACCCCCUUCCCCACAUGCACCAGUGCCUUUGCCAGAGUCAGGAGGGAAAGCUCAGAGAGGGUGGUUGUGUCCAUCUCAGGCUCCCUAAGUCCCCUCCCAAGACACGCCAGUGAGGACAUAGGAAGGGACAGUUGCCACGGUUGGUAGGCUGCUGUCAGCGUUGGAGGAGGUGAUAAAUAAGAAAUGUGACUCAUCCUGACAAGUGUCGGGCGCACAGGGGAGGGGUGCAGGCUUACACCUUGCUGUAGCACUGCUCUCGAGAUGCUGCUGACUUAGCACAGCCAGGAACUGACAGGCCCUGCCAUUGUCCCUCAGUGUGAAGACAUGCCUGGCCCAAGGCUGUGGGGACAGAAGGGCCUCUUAGGGCUUAGAAACACGGUCAGUCAGGUCGGGUGGGACAGAGCCGGGGUUUAAUUCAAGGACGUAACAGCAGUAAAGAAGGAAACUUGUAUCUUUAGCAAGUUAGUAGGAUGUUUAUAAUUUAUGGGUAUAGGAACGAAAUAACACUUCAUCCAGAAUCUUAUGAGGAGUUUGAAAAAAAUGAGUGCCAGGUCGGGGAUUUAGCUAAGUGGCACUGUGCAUGCCUCACAAGUGCAAGGUCCUGAGUUUGAUCCCCGGUACUAAAAAAAAAUAUGAGUUCCCUCUUUGAGGUUAAAAUGAGAUUUUAAAAACGAAUAAUGGUUUUUACACCAAGACCAGUAAGAACAGGACUUUGAUGUGGCAGGAGGAGUUUCAGGUUCUGCUCUUCUCAGGCUUGCACAGUGCUUGUCUCGUUCUGGGAUUCCCAUGUUAGAAGGAGUGUAGAGAAGUUGGAGAAAGUUUGGAGAAGUAUGUGCAGCAAUACUAAAAUUUUGGGAAGUAAAAAUAAUUUUGAUACACGUAUUUAAAUAAAACAGGGAGUUAGGAGAAAUAUCCCCGUGCUUAGAGGUUUAGCUACCAAGGCAAAGGGCUAGAUUUUAAUAUGUAAAUCUGACAAAAAAGGAAAUUAUAGUCAAGAUUAGAAACUCAAGUGACUGGUGAGUAAACAGACAUUGUUAGAAUAAGAAAUCAAGAAAUUAUAAGCAGUCUUAAUUAUAUGCCAACUGUUUAAGCUUUACUUAAACUGAAAUUGGAAAAUGAAAGCUAUUUGACAAUGUAUGGGUACAAAUCCAGAGGAAAAAAAACCCCAAACGAAACAUUAUAUAAAUGCUCUUAACAAUGUAGACACUUACAUCUAUUAAAUGCGACGUAUGUUUUAUACUUGUAGACCUCUGCAGUCAAGUCUAAUUAAAGGCUACACAAAAUAUUUAAUGUGAUUGGUUUCAACAGUUUAAAUUAAACCCACAGUAUUGAUGUGAAACUGAAAAGCCCGUAAGCCGUCAGCCACAGCACAUGUAGAGGAAUGACUCCCAGGAGACGUCAUUUGGUUAACAGAAAAAAGAGAGGCAGUUCUGGAGUGCUGCUUAUGUUCAGAUCUGAGAUGAAGAAUGAGGUGUUCUUCCUAGCACCGAGGUGUACCAUCUAUCCCUGACCUCCCCUCUUGUGGAGAAAAAGAAUUUAGAACAAAGUCACUUCAUCUUGUUGUUUUUUCCCCUUUUGAGAUAAAAAAGUAAACUACAUAAUUUGCUACCUUUUCUGACUUCUGAGUGGAGUGAGGGUUAUUUUGAUUACAUAAUAUAGUUUCUCGCCUGUUGAAAAUUUGUGUGGUAUUUUUAGACCUUUGAAAGGGCAGGCAAAAGGGCCUUUUCUUACAGUUUUCAGAAUUUUUCCAUAUCCUGUUUGAUGUGUGGUUAGAUCAGCUGAUGAGUCAUGUGAUGUUUUGCUGUUUCAAAUGACAGAAAUAGAGAUUCAAAAUAACCACACAGAGGAGUAUCUCAAAUGUUUACCAAAUACACUGCUCAAAACAUGCUUUUCUACGGUUCAGGUGCUUUUUAUAGGAGAGCCCUGUGUGCAGUGGCCGUAUGUAGAAGGUGUGCAGCAGACCUCUCCGGCCCACAGUCACUGCAUCUUCCAGAGUCCUGCCACAGACUGCAGUGCAGUUCUGACUGCUAGCAAAGGUGGGCACAGAACCAGAACAUAAAAGACCCCUUUUCCUGCACUGUGCACUGGUUUCGUGGAUGAAGACUCAUUGUGAGCUUGGGAGGCAGCUUAACUCCAGUACCAG
This is a long non-coding RNA of Heterocephalus glaber (naked mole-rat), 3959 nucleotides long. NCBI's taxonomy places the organism in Eukaryota, Metazoa, Chordata, Mammalia, Rodentia, Bathyergidae. The record is from Ensembl.